Long non-coding RNA from Solenopsis invicta (red fire ant), 1551 nucleotides. RefSeq lists it as uncharacterized. NCBI's taxonomy places the organism in Eukaryota, Metazoa, Arthropoda, Insecta, Hymenoptera, Formicidae. The record is from RefSeq and is a predicted model, not a curated record. The transcript is spliced from 3 exons.
AAAUCUUUAUCGAUGCAGGAAAUAGGAAUAAUACAAUAUUAUUAUUACACCAUUAACCUAGUAAGUCCAGGAAAUUCUGCUCAAAUCCUGUGAUAAGGGGAGUCGGGAGACGUGGUACAUAUAGAUAAUUGUGAAACUUCUUGGAUCUUUACAAAAUGUUUAAAGCCAGUAACAGAGUCGAUCAAACAUUUGUUUUUAACAUCAACUAGGAGAUUAAAAUAUCCGAGAAAAUCUGCAUCUAAAAUGGGACGUUGAAUAUCCGCGAUGCAAAAUUUCCAACGGAAAUUUUUCCUGAGGCCAAGAUCCAAAGAAAGAGUUUUAGAACCAUAAGUAUGAAUUUGAGUACCAUUAGCAGCAAAAAGUUUAAAAUUAGUUGAUAAUGGUUUAAACAAAACUCUCUUAGGAAUUAAGGAAAUAUUAGCGCCAGUAUCGACAAGAAAAUGUAAAUUAGAAGAUUUGUCAAAAAUUACGAGGCGAUGAAAAGGUAAACCGUUGUAAGCAGCCUCAAUCUUCAACGGCGCUUCUAGUUUUCCUAAGAGUCAGUAAGAAUUUUUGACAUUAUGCAAGGAAUGGUACAUUUCUUUGCUCUAUCACCAAAUUUUUUUAUGAUAAAAACAAAUUGGCUGAUCUUUAGAAUUGGGUUUUUUAUUCCGUGAAUUUGAUCUAAAUUUUGAUUUGCUUCUAGAUCAGCUUGAACAUCUGCCACGACAACGAGAAACUUCGAGUGCAGCGAUUCUUCGUUCUAAUUCAGAAAAAUCCGGUUGUUUAGAAGUUGAUUGCGUAUUAACUUCCGCGACUUGAAAAUCAGUAUCACGUUCAACAAUUUUAUUCGCAAGUUCCGAGAGCUUGACUAAAGGCGGAUUUUCAACAAUUUCCGAUAUCGCGACUAAAGCUUGUUCAUCGAGAUGACGAAUAACAGAACUAUAUUUAAUAUCUUCGGAACGGAUACGGUAUACGGUAAAUUCAAUCUCAAUCUGAGCAAACCACAGCUUGGGUUGCUUAUGCCAAAGGAUUGGAAGUUUCAACAGGCGAAAUUUAUUAGAAUGGAUCCGAGUGGACUCACCAAAUGAUUGAUGUUCUAUACCAGAAGGCAUUUUAUUAAUGGCUUUCAGAGAAGAGCCAAGACGAUCCAGGAAUCAAAAUUCGAAGAUUCUUGAAGACACCAAAUGGCACUUCAGAAAUUAAAUUUUCCGCGUCAAAAGAUAUUUCUGUAUAGUAUUCUCGUUAUUAUCAAACUCAUUUAUUUCUAUAUUAUUUUAUUUAUAGGCGUGUUAGUAACAUUUUCUGCAUUUGAUUAUUUGCGGCAUGUGAAGCCAUUUUGUGUAAACCAGCGCCCCUAGAUUCUAGGGAAGGCGACGCUAUAUAGCUAGCGUAGAGUGAACGCGCUCUCUCUCCAGCGCCGUCUCCCGUGUAAUGCACAUCGACAUUGUCGAGCCAACAAUCCUUUUGUAAGAAAAGUAAUUUUUAAAUAUAUCGUUUUUUAAACCAACGAUGGUAGUAGCAUUAUUCAUUUCAAUUGUUUCUUGUUCAAUUUCAACAUACAUCGUUAUC